This is a long non-coding RNA of Chinchilla lanigera (long-tailed chinchilla), 539 nucleotides long. Ensembl lists it as uncharacterized. Lineage: Eukaryota; Metazoa; Chordata; Mammalia; Rodentia; Chinchillidae. The record is from Ensembl.
CAACAGUUCUCUGGCCAGGCUGCUAUAAAUUAACACUGUAGGAGGGGCAGAGUUGGUGGAUUGAGACCUCUCCUGCACCCUGUUCAGUGGGUUGAAUGGAGAAAUCCAGCUCAAACAGGAUGGAACAGUUCCAAAUGGAAACAAAUCAAAUUCAGAGAAGAACAUACUGAUGGGGACCAGAUAGACAUGCAUCCAACUUGUUCUUACUGGAUUAGAGCAAGUGGGCAGAAUCACGGCAGUUCAGGAGAAAGAAACCAAAUGAAGCCAGAAAACAUUUUCCAGAUGGAAAGAAAACACUGGACUUUGGGGCUGGGGAUUUAGCUGAACGGCAAACGCGCCUGCCUGGCAAGCGCAAGGUCGUGAGUUCGGUUCCCGGUACCAGAGAAAAACCAAAAAAAAAAAAAGAAAACACUGGACUUUUGUGUUUCAAAACCAUACACCUAUAAGCCUAUAAUCCCUGUCUAAUCAGAUCAAACUUUCUCAAACCUUUCUCUGCCAAUAAAAUUUAGCUAUGUGAAUAUUUUUUAUUCUAACUUUUA